This 203-nucleotide ribosomal RNA is filed under the name uncultured bacterium. RNAcentral's name for it is "partial 16S ribosomal RNA". It matches the Rfam family "Bacterial small subunit ribosomal RNA", at positions 1290 to 1500 of the family's 1533-position model. The record is from RNAcentral.
AGUUCGGAUUGGAGUCUGCAACUCGACUCCAUGAAGCUGGAUUCGCUAGUAAUCGCGCAUCAGCCAUGGCGCGGUGAAUACGUUCCCGGGCCUUGUACACACCGCCCGUCAAGCCAUGGGAGCCGGGGGUGCCUGAAGUACGUGACCGCGAGGAGCGUCCUAGGGCAAAACUGGUGACUGGGGCUAAGUCGUAACAAGGUAAC